Molecule: ribosomal RNA, 497 nt
Filed under: uncultured bacterium
Lineage: Bacteria
Description: partial 16S ribosomal RNA
Rfam family: Bacterial small subunit ribosomal RNA
Source: RNAcentral
GAUGAACGCUGGCGGCGUGCCUAAUACAUGCAAGUCGAGCGAACAGACGAGGAGCUUGCUCCUCUGACGUUAGCGGCGGACGGGUGAGUAACACGUGGAUAACCUACCUAUAAGACUGGGAUAACUUCGGGAAACCGGAGCUAAUACCGGAUAAUAUAUUGAACCGCAUGGUUCAAUAGUGAAAGACGGUUUUGCUGUCACUUAUAGAUGGAUCCGCGCCGCAUUAGCUAGUUGGUAAGGUAACGGCUUACCAAGGCAACGAUGCGUAGCCGACCUGAGAGGGUGAUAGGCCACACUGGAACUGAGACACGGUCAAGACUCCUACGGGAGGCAGCAGUAGGGAAUCGUCCGCAAUGGGCGAAAGCCUGACGGAGCAACGCCGAGUGAGUGAUGAAGGUCUUCGGAUCGUAAAAAUCUGUUAUUAGGGAAGAACAAAUGUGGAAGUAACUAUGCACGUCUUGACGGUACCUAAUCAGAAAGCCACGGCUAACUACGUG